This 233-nucleotide long non-coding RNA is filed under the name Nicotiana benthamiana. RNAcentral describes it as "long non-coding RNA (NBEN_LNC006517)". Lineage: Eukaryota; Viridiplantae; Streptophyta; Magnoliopsida; Solanales; Solanaceae. The record is from RNAcentral.
AGAGGGGAACUGACGAGUCUGGCAGUAUGCACAAGUUAUGGACACAACUCAAAUCAUUGAAAAUGGAAUUGAAAGAACUGAACACUCACGUGGCAUCUUAUAGAACCCAUCUCCAUGCAGCAAGACAGAAGCUACAGACCAUACAGUUAGAACUGUCGGUGAGAAAUCUGGACCAACAGCUGAUCGACAAAGAAAAAAAAAUCCUUAACAGAAGUAGAGAAACGGAGCACAAU